RNAcentral lists this ribosomal RNA (2015 nucleotides) under human gut metagenome. RNAcentral's name for it is "bacterial LSU rRNA". It matches the Rfam family "Bacterial large subunit ribosomal RNA", at positions 826 to 2925 of the family's 2925-position model. The record is from RNAcentral.
AUUCCAAUCGAACUCGGAGAUAGCUGGUUCUCCCCGAAAUAGCUUUAGGGCUAGCCUCAUAUUAGAUACCCGGAGGUAAAGCACUGAAUGGCCUAGCGCCCGAGAGGGUAGCGAAGCCUAUCAAACUAAGAAUGCCGGAGUAUUGAUGUAUGGGAGUCAGACAGUGUGAGAUAAAUCUCAUUGUCAAAAGGGAAACAGCCCAGAUCUACAGCUAAGGUCCCAAAUUGUAUCUAAGUGGAAAACGAUGUGGAAAUACGCAGACAACCAGGAUGUUGGCUCAGAAGCAGCCACUCAUUUAAAGAGUGCGUAAUAGCUCACUGGUCGAGCGUCUCUGCGCGGAAAAUUUAACGGGGCUAAGAUACAAACCGAAGCUUAGGCUGCAUCGUAAGAUGCGGGGUAGGGGAGCGUUGUGUAAGCGGAGAAACAGUAGCGUAAGCGGCUGUGGAGUUUACAGAAGUGAGAAUGCCGGAAUGAGUAGCGCGAAUGUGGUGAGAAUCCACAUGGCCGGAAACCUCAGGUUUUUGGAGGAAGGUUCGUCCGCUCCAAGUUAGGCGGGAGCUAAGGUCAGGCCGAAAGGCGUAGCCGAUGCACAGACGGUAGAGAUUCCGUCCCCACCGAAAGAUUUAAGCACAGGGACACUUUUUGAAGGUCGGAGCCAGGUGUUGGUUCUGGUAGUGAUCGAGGGAAAUAUAGUACCGAAGUCCGGCUGGAAAAGAGGCGAGAAAAGCUGUGUGUAUAUCUAAGGUGCCCGUACCGCAAACCGACACAGGUAGGUAGGAAGAAGAUUCUAAGGCCAACGGGAGAAGGGUUGUUAAGGAACUCGGCAAGUUGACCCCGUAACUUCGGAAUAAGGGGUGCUCACGAGAGUGAGCCGCAGAGAAUAGGCCCAGGCAACUGUUUACCAAAAACACAGGUUUGUGCUAAAUCGAAAGAUGACGUAUACGAGCUGACGCCUGCCCGGUGCUGGAAGGUUAAAAGGAGAUGUGCAAGCAUUGAAUUGAAGCCCCAGUGAACGGCGGCCGUAACUAUAACGGUCCUAAGGUAGCGAAAUUCCUUGUCAGGUAAGUUCUGACCCGCAUGAAAGGCGUAAUGAUCUGGGCACUGUCUCAACAGCCCGCCCGGCGAAAUUGUAGUACCGGUGAAGAUGCCGGUUACCCGCGACAAGACGGAAAGACCCCAUGGAGCUUUACUGUAGCCUGAUAUUGGGUUUCGGUGUUGCAUGCACAGGAUAGAUGGGACACUGGGAAGGCAGUGCUUUGGCAUUGCUGGAGUGGACGUUGGGAUACCAUCCUUGCGACAUUGGAAUUCUAACCUGCGCCUCUGAAUCGAGGCGGGGGACAUUGUCAGGUGGGCAGUUUGACUGGGGCGGUCGCCUCCUAAAAAGUAGCGGAGGCGUUCAAAGGUUCGUUCGAUCUGGACGGAAACCAGAUGAUUGAGUGCAAACGCAUAAACGAGCCUGACUGCGAGACUGACGGGUCGAGCAGAGACGAAAGUCGGAGUUAGUGAUCCGGUGGUAUGUGAGUGGAAAUGCCAUCGCUCAACGGAUAAAAGUUACCCUGGGGAUAACAGGCUGAUCUCCCCCAAGAGUCCACAUCGACGGGGAGGUUUGGCACCUCGAUGUCGGCUCAUCGCAUCCUGGGGCUGAAUUCGGUCCCAAGGGUUUGGCUGUUCGCCAAUUAAAGCGGUACGCGAGCUGGGUUCAGAACGUCGUGAGACAGUUCGGUCCCUAUCUGUCGUGGGCGCAGGAUAUUUGAAAGGCGCUGUCCCUAGUACGAGAGGACCGGGAUGGACGAACCUCUGGUGCACCAGUUGUCACGCCAGUGGCACAGCUGGGCAGCUAUGUUCGGAUCGGAUAAACGCUGAAAGCAUCUAAGCGUGAAGCCGGCCUUAAGAUAAGAUAUCCCACUGAGUCAAUCAGGUAAGACCCCUUGAAGACUACAAGGUUGAUAGGCACACAGUGUAAGCGGAGUGAUCCGUUCAGCUAGCGUGUACUAAUAGGUCGAGGGCUUGACCCC